Molecule: ribosomal RNA, 497 nt
Filed under: uncultured bacterium
Lineage: Bacteria
Description: partial 16S ribosomal RNA
Rfam family: Bacterial small subunit ribosomal RNA
Source: RNAcentral
GAUGAACGCUGGCGGCGUGCCUAAUACAUGCAAGUCGAGCGAACAGACGAGGAGCUUGCUCCUCUGACGUUAGCGGCGGACGGGUGAGUAACACGUGGAUAACCUACCUAUAAGACUGGGAUAACUUCGGGAAACCGGAGCUAAUACCGGAUAAUAUAUUGAACCGCAUGGUUCAAUAGUGAAAGACGGUUUUGCUGUCACUUAUAGAUGGAUCCGCGCCGCAUUAGCUAGUUGGUAAGGUAACGGCUUACCAAGGCAACGAUGGGUAGCCGACCUGAGAGGGGCGGCGACGGCAGUCGAUCAGAGACGCGGUCAGAGCUCCUACAGACGGCAGCAGGAGGGAACCGUCGGCAAUAGUGGAAAACGUGCCGAAGCAUGAUGCAGUGAGUGAUCGAGGUGUACGGAGCGUAAAGCUCUGUUAUUAGCUAAGAACAAAUGUGUGAGUAGCUAUGCGCUUCGUGACGGGAAGUGGUCAGAAAGCCACGGCUAACUACGUG